This is a long non-coding RNA of Cyprinus carpio (common carp), 1318 nucleotides long. RefSeq lists it as uncharacterized. NCBI's taxonomy places the organism in Eukaryota, Metazoa, Chordata, Actinopteri, Cypriniformes, Cyprinidae. The record is from RefSeq and is a predicted model, not a curated record. The transcript is spliced from 5 exons.
UUCAUUCGCGAACGGGGCAUCGUUAGUUCCAAUUAUAAACAGCUGGCAGAAUAUAGUCACACGAGUUUACUGACUUCUUUAUUGAACUUUUCCGACCAUAGUGACAGAAAGUGAAGUAAAUAUAAAGAUGCCGACACCCAUAUUAUUGUAAAGUCUUAUCACAGUUGUCCAAAUAGAGGCGCGAGUUCACUCGUCAAUUAAUCGACACAAGAAGGAAAGAGUCACAACACUAAACUGAUGAAAGCGGCUGAGCUGGAGGACCUCAAACCUGCAGAUGCCACACAACUCACACAGUGUCUCCGCAUCUACCCUCGAGAAGGCAUUGAACAAGUCUCUCCUUCUGUGUCCUUUGGGUGGCGCUGUGGUACAGGACAGCAUGUAUCGCUCAAUAAAUCAGGAUGAAGAACGGAACAGCUUGGGAUGCAGGAGUGUUUGUAGGCAGCUCCUCUGCAUAUAAAUUGUGUCUUCAUGUCACAGUAUGAACUCAGACUCAGAAAUGUAGGCCAUGCUUUAGAUGAUUCAUGCAAGAUCUCUCAGCGUUCUGCCCACAGGAUCUCUCGAGUCGGCAGUAAAUCCUCAUAAAUAUAGCACUCAGAACGUCAUCCCUGACCUGAAGUUGAAGAGAGAGAGUUGGAUCUGCGCUGAGGUUUAGCGGUCUGUGAAGGUGGGGAUUUGAAGAUGACGUAGGUGUGAAAAUAUUCAGGUUCAUGAGUUUGUCCUAGCCCCAUCACAGGUGCCAGUGCCACAACGGACCAUAUGUUUCAAGGUCAAAUGAACGGUGACCACACCUCACUGCAACAUCAACACUGCUGACAAUCCUGCGUAGCUUGCAGAGAGAGUCUCAAAAAUCAUUACACCAUCACUCCUCUGUCCAGGAUCAGCCUUUUAAUAUGCAAGCAUGAGGUUAAAGCAGAUAAAUUGUGACCCCAGACCUUACAGUUGCUUUGAGCUGCUGGGAAAACACAACUGCUUUGAGUGAGCAUUUGCAUUGGCUCUCCAAGGGUUACAACACUGUAACCACACAUUUACAUGUUACAUGAGGCUGUUACAGCUUGUAUGCAAAGUAUGUGACUGUCUGCGACAGUUCUACAGUUCAGUAAGCACAUGAGCCAGGUGAUAAUAAAAAUAAUGCAUUUGUCAAAAUUAUGGAACUGAACACAACAACUUUACAUUUUUGCUAGCUUUUUUUCAUUUUGCUAGUAUGCUUUAGAAAAAUAUGCCACAUUUUCCAGUAAAAUCUUGUGAAUAUUUUACAUUUUUAGCUAUCAAAACUGAAAUCGACACUAUAUUUGGCAAUGUUUUACAUAAACAUGACACU